This 497-nucleotide ribosomal RNA is filed under the name uncultured bacterium. Its description in RNAcentral is "partial 16S ribosomal RNA". It matches the Rfam family "Bacterial small subunit ribosomal RNA", at positions 28 to 507 of the family's 1533-position model. The record is from RNAcentral.
GAUGAACGCUGGCGGCGUGCCUAAUACAUGCAAGUCGAGCGAACGGACGAGAAGCUUGCUUCUCUGAUGUUAGCGGCGGACGGGUGAGUAACACGUGGAUAACCUACCUAUAAGACUGGGAUAACUUCGGGAAACCGGAGCUAAUACCGGAUAAUAUUUUGAACCGCAUGGUUCAAAAGUGAAAGACGGUCUUGCUGUCACUUAUAGAUGGAUCCGCGCUGCAUUAGCUAGUCGGUAAGGUAACGGCUUACCAAGGCAACGAUGCAUAGCCGACCUGAGAGGGUGAUCGGCCACACUGGAACUGAGACACGGUCCAGACUCCUACGGGAGGCAGCAGUAGGGAAUCUUCCGCAAUGGGCGAAAGCCUGACGGAGCAACGCCGCGUGAGUGAUGAAGGUCUUCGGAUCGUAAAACUCUGUUAUUAGGGAAGAACAUAUGUGUAAGUAACUGUGCACAUCUUGACGGUACCUAAUCAGAAAGCCACGGCUAACUACGCG